Molecule: ribosomal RNA, 812 nt
Filed under: uncultured bacterium
Lineage: Bacteria
Description: bacterial SSU rRNA
Rfam family: Bacterial small subunit ribosomal RNA
Source: RNAcentral
UGGCGGCAUGCCUUACACUUGCAAGUCGAACGGUAGAGCAGCUAUGCUUGAGAGUGGCGAACGGGUGAGUAAUAUAUCGGAACGUGCCCAGUCGUGGGGGAUAACGUAUAGAAAUUUACGCUAAUACCGCAUACGAUCUAAGGAUGAAAGCGGGGGACUCGCAAGAGCCUCUCGCGAUUGGAGCGGCUGAUAUCAGAUUAGGUUGUUGGUGAGGUAAAAGCUCACCAAGCCGACGAUCUGUAGCUGGUUUGAGAGAACGACCAGCCACACUGGGACUGAGACACGGCCCAGACUCCUACGGGAGGCAGCAGUGGGGAAUUUUGGACAAUGGGCGAAAGCCUGAUCCAGCAAUGCUGCGUGUGGGAAGAAGGCCUUCGGGUUGUAAACCACUUUUGUACGGAACGAAACGGUCUGCUUUAAUACAGCGGGGCUAAUGACGGUACCGUAAGAAUAAGCACCGGCUUAACUACCGUGCCCAGCAGCCGCGGGUUAUACGUAGGGGUGCGAGCGUUUAUCCGGAAUUUACUUGGGCGUAAAAGCGUGCGCAGGCGGGUUAUAUAAGACAGUUGGUGAAAAUCCCCCGGGCCUCAACCCUGGGAAUUGCAUCUUGUGACUGUAUAGCUAGAGUACCGGUAAAGGGGGGAUUGGAAUUCCGCGUGUAGCCAGUGAAAUGCGUAUAUAUGGCGGAAGAAACCACCGAUGGUGAAGCAAUCCCCUGGAACCUGUACUGAUGGCUCCUUGCACGAAGGCUUGGGGGAAGCAAACAGGAAUAGAAUACCCUGGUAGUCCACCCCCCAAACGAUGUCAACUGG